AGCGGGGUAGAGUAAUGGUUAACUCGUCAGGCUCAUAAUCUGUAGAAUGCAGGUUCGAAUCCUGCCCCCGCCU
Non-coding RNA from Gossypium arboreum, 73 nucleotides. NCBI's taxonomy places the organism in Eukaryota, Viridiplantae, Streptophyta, Magnoliopsida, Malvales, Malvaceae. The record is from Rfam.